AAGUGUUACAGCUAUUUUAGAAUUUGUUUAGCAGGCUUUCUGGUUUUUACUGGAAAGCCCCU
Small nuclear RNA from Pongo abelii (Sumatran orangutan), 62 nucleotides. Its record names the gene U7. It matches the Rfam family "U7 small nuclear RNA". From Rfam's summary of the family: Animal histone pre-mRNAs are spliced by a different mechanism than nuclear pre-mRNAs and self-splicing introns. NCBI's taxonomy places the organism in Eukaryota, Metazoa, Chordata, Mammalia, Primates, Hominidae. The record is from Ensembl.